Non-coding RNA from Cyanistes caeruleus (blue tit), 329 nucleotides. The record is from RefSeq and is a predicted model, not a curated record. NCBI's taxonomy places the organism in Eukaryota, Metazoa, Chordata, Aves, Passeriformes, Paridae.
UCCCCUUUUUCCAGACACAAGGGAAGUCUCAGCCAUCAUAAGAACAAUGCAUAUUAUCCAUAAAAUGGAGAAGAAAUGGAGGGGUUCACUGCAGGUCAUAGAGGAGAGGUAAAAAUCCAGAGCUGAUCCCCCCAAAAAUGAGAGGAAAACAUCUGGGAAAGCAAAGAUCUUGGAGAGGGGAGGGAUGGACACCGGGAAGGACUUUUGUGAUCUACAUCAGCAGUCUUCCUGCCCUCAGAAGAUGAACACUCCUUCCUAACUUGGUUUCUACCUGAAAACUGACUGAGGACACACUUGACUCCUUCAUCCAGAUCAUCAGCAAAGAUAUU